This 493-nucleotide ribosomal RNA is filed under the name uncultured bacterium. Its description in RNAcentral is "partial 16S ribosomal RNA". It matches the Rfam family "Bacterial small subunit ribosomal RNA", at positions 28 to 506 of the family's 1533-position model. The record is from RNAcentral.
GACGAACGCUGGCGGCGUGCUUAACACAUGCAAGUCGAACGGUGAAGCGCCUUCCUUUUUGGUGGGUGUGGAUGAGUGGCGAACGGGUGAGUAACACGUGAGUAACCUGCCCCCUUCUUCUGGAUAACCGCAUGAAAGUGUGGCUAAUACGGGAUAUUCUGGGUCUGUCGCAUGAUGGGUCUGGGAAAGAUAUUGUUUCGGUGGGGGAUGGGCGCGCGGCCUAUCAGCUUGUGGGUGGGGUGAUGGCCUACCAAGGCGGUGACGGGUGGCCGGCCUGGGAGGGGAGACGGACAGACUGGGAGUGAGACACCGCACAGACUCGUAAGGGAGGCGGGAGUGGGGAAUAUGGAAGAAUGGGCGCAAGCCUGAUGCAGCGACGCCGCGUGAGGGAGGGAGGCCGUCGGGUUGUGACCCUCUUUCGCCAGUGAAGCAGGCCUGCCUAGUUUGUGGGUGGGUUGACGGUAGCUGGAUAAGAAGCGCCGGCUAACUACGU